AUUGAACGUUGGCGGCAGGCCUAAUACAUGCAAGUCGAACGGCAGCACAGAGAGCUUGCUCUUGGGUGGCGAGUGGCGGACGGGUGAGUAACGCGUAGGAAUCUACCCAGUAGCGGGGGAUAGCCCGGGGAAACUCGGAUUAAUACCGCAUACGCCCCACGGGGGAAAGGCCGGGAUCUUCGGACCGGUCACUAUUGGAGGAGCCUGCGUUGGAUUAGCUUGUUGGUGGGGUAAAGGCCUACCAAGGCUACGAUCCAUAGCUGGUCUGAGAGGACGAUCAGCCACACUGGAACUGAGACACGGUCCAGACUCCUACGGGAGGCAGCAGUAGGGAAUAUUGUGCAAUGGGCGAAAGCCUGACACAGCCAUGCCGCGUGUGUGAAGAAGGCCCUAGGGUUGUAAAGCACUUUCAGUA
This 415-nucleotide ribosomal RNA is filed under the name uncultured bacterium. RNAcentral describes it as "bacterial SSU rRNA". It matches the Rfam family "Bacterial small subunit ribosomal RNA", at positions 30 to 441 of the family's 1533-position model. The record is from RNAcentral.